GACGAACGCUGGCGGCGUGCUUAACACAUGCAAGUCGAACGAAGAGCGAUGGAAGCUUGCUUCUAUCAAUCUUAGUGGCGAACGGGUGAGUAACGCGUAAUCAACUUGCCCUUCAGAGGGGGACAACAGUUGGAAACGACUGCUAAUACCGCAUACGAUCUAAUCUCGGCAUCGAGGAUAGAUGAAAGGUGGCCUCUACAUGUAAGCUAUCACUGAAGGAGGGGAUUGCGUCUGAUUAGCUAGUUGGAGGGGUAACGGCCCACCAAGGCGAUGAUCAGUAGCCGGUCUGAGAGGAUGAACGGCCACAUUGGGACUGAGACACGGCCCAGACUCCUACGGGAGGCAGCAGUGGGGAAUCUUCCGCAAUGGACGAAAGUCUGACGGAGCAACGCCGCGUGAGCGAUGACGGCCUUCGGGUUGUAAAGCUCUGUUAAUCGGGACGAAAGGCCUUCUUGCGAAUAGUGAGAAGGAUUGACGGUACCGGAAUAGAAAGCCACGGCUAACUACGUG
This 510-nucleotide ribosomal RNA is filed under the name uncultured bacterium. RNAcentral's name for it is "partial 16S ribosomal RNA". It matches the Rfam family "Bacterial small subunit ribosomal RNA", at positions 28 to 507 of the family's 1533-position model. The record is from RNAcentral.